CCUGACUGUGCGAAGGUAGCAUAAUAAUUUGCCUUUUAAUUGGAGGAUAGAAUGAAUGGUUUGACGAAGAUAUAGCUGUCUUAUGUGUAUUUAUUAGAAGUUAAUUUUCAGGUCAAAAAGCCUGAAUACGAUUAAGGGACGAGAAGACCCUAUUAAGCUUUAAAGAAGUUGUUAAUUACUGCUAUGAAUAAAAUAGGUUAUUGGUAAUUGAAUUUUAGUUGGGGCGACUUAGGAGCAAUUAAAACCUCCUUAAAUAAGAUAAAAUUUAGUGCAGGGUCCAAUGAAUUUUGAGUUAAGAACAAGUUACUAUAGGGAUAACAGCGUGAUUUUACUUGAGAGUUCUAAUCGAAAGUGAAGUUUGCGACCUCGAUGUUGGAUUAGGAAGUAGUAAAGGUUGCAGAAGCUUUUAUAAUUAGUCUGUUCGACUAGUGAUAUCCUACAUGAUCUGAGUUCAAACCGGA
RNAcentral lists this ribosomal RNA (461 nucleotides) under Plectostoma umbilicatum. RNAcentral describes it as "partial large subunit ribosomal RNA". It matches the Rfam family "Bacterial large subunit ribosomal RNA", at positions 1941 to 2620 of the family's 2925-position model. The record is from RNAcentral. Lineage: Eukaryota; Metazoa; Mollusca; Gastropoda; Architaenioglossa; Diplommatinidae.